GACGAACGCUGGCGGCGUGCUUAACACAUGCCAGUCGAACGGAAAGGCCCUGCUUUUGUGGGGUGCUCGAGUGGCGAACGGGUGAGUAACACGUGAGUAACCUGCCCUUGACUUUGGGAUAACUUCAGGAAACUGGGGCUAAUACCGGAUAGGAGCUCCUGCUGCAUGGUGGGGGUUGGAAAGUUUCGGCGGUUGGGGAUGGACUCGCGGCUUAUCAGCUUGUUGGUGGGGUAGUGGCUUACCAAGGCUUUGACGGGUAGCCGGCCUGAGAGGGUGACCGGCCACAUUGGGACUGGGAUACGGCCCAGACUCCUACGGGAGGCAGCGGUGGGGAAUAUUGCACAAUGGGCGGAAGCCGGAUGCAGCAACGCCGCGUGCGGGAUGACGGCCUUCGGUUGUAAACCGCUUUCGCCUGUGACGAAGCGUGAGUGACGGUAAUGGGUAAAGAAGCACCGGCUAACUACGUG
This 467-nucleotide ribosomal RNA is filed under the name uncultured bacterium. RNAcentral describes it as "partial 16S ribosomal RNA". It matches the Rfam family "Bacterial small subunit ribosomal RNA", at positions 28 to 507 of the family's 1533-position model. The record is from RNAcentral.